Molecule: unclassified non-coding RNA, 592 nt
Filed under: Penicillium rubens
Lineage: Eukaryota; Fungi; Ascomycota; Eurotiomycetes; Eurotiales; Aspergillaceae
Description: sequence contains 18S rRNA gene, ITS1, 5.8S rRNA gene, ITS2, 28S rRNA gene
Rfam family: 5.8S ribosomal RNA (bases 222-374)
Source: RNAcentral
AGUCGUAACAAGGUUUCCGUAGGUGAACCUGCGGAAGGAUCAUUACCGAGUGAGGGCCCUCUGGGUCCAACCUCCCACCCGUGUUUAUUUUACCUUGUUGCUUCGGCGGGCCCGCCUUAACUGGCCGCCGGGGGGCUUACGCCCCCGGGCCCGCGCCCGCCGAAGACACCCUCGAACUCUGUCUGAAGAUUGUAGUCUGAGUGAAAAUAUAAAUUAUUUAAAACUUUCAACAACGGAUCUCUUGGUUCCGGCAUCGAUGAAGAACGCAGCGAAAUGCGAUACGUAAUGUGAAUUGCAAAUUCAGUGAAUCAUCGAGUCUUUGAACGCACAUUGCGCCCCCUGGUAUUCCGGGGGGCAUGCCUGUCCGAGCGUCAUUUCUGCCCUCAAGCACGGCUUGUGUGUUGGGCCCCGUCCUCCGAUCCCGGGGGACGGGCCCGAAAGGCAGCGGCGGCACCGCGUCCGGUCCUCGAGCGUAUGGGGCUUUGUCACCCGCUCUGUAGGCCCGGCCGGCGCUUGCCGAUCAACCCAAAUUUUUAUCCAGGUUGACCUCGGAUCAGGUAGGGAUACCCGCUGAACUUAAGCAUAUCAAUAA